This is a long non-coding RNA of Taeniopygia guttata (zebra finch), 5373 nucleotides long. The record is from Ensembl. Lineage: Eukaryota; Metazoa; Chordata; Aves; Passeriformes; Estrildidae.
AAAUGAGUGAGGGUCUUCAGAUUGCCUCUUACACCACCCCGUGACUGACGAUUGCCCUCAAGAGAUCUUCAGCAGGGUUCUGUAGUGUCGUUGUGAAGUCUUCAGGACUCGUCUAGUGUUGGCAGCAUAUACCAGAGAAGGGGAAAAAAAGAAAAAGGAGGGGAAAAGAGAACAGGGAAAAUAGUAAAACAAUAACAAUAAUUAGUAUAAAUUGAAUCAAUAUUAAUUGGAACAAUUUUCUAAUCAAUAAACAAUGAGUUGAUUAAAUGAUAUUAAAACAAUUCUUUAACAAUAAACUAAUAAAACAAUCUUUAAGAAUUCAAAUCAGGUUUUCUAAGUGACUAAAACAAACAAUCUUCCAAUCUUAUAAUUGCUUUGUGUCUAUAGUCCUGGGGAUGUCUAUAGUAUAAAGCACAUCGGCCAAGUGGUGUGCAUUAAUUAUAGCUGUCAAUUUUGUUAAUCGUUUUAUCAUUCUCCAAUUCAUAAUAAGCAAGAUUGCUGAUAAAGCAAAGGCAAUCAAAACUAAAAUCCAAAGGACAACAAUGGGAUGACACAAUUUGUUCAGGAUACCUGUAGCAGUAGGUGACCACCCAAAAAGUGUAUCCCACCACCUAUGUUCUGCAUCACUUUUUACUCUUUCUAUAACCCGAUGUAUUUCUUGUACAUCAUGAUGAAUAGUUACCAGUGUUUUCUGUCCGUUCUCCUUGAUUUUUCCUAAGAUUUCAAUUAAGUCCUGGUGAAGCAACAAUUGCCUUACCAGAGUAAGAUUCAUUCCAAUGGGGGUAGGCAAUAGCUUAUGGAUCAGCGUGUAAUUAGAUUCUAAAAGUUGAUAUGAAGUAACUGGAGCUUCAAAAGAAAAAUCACAUCCUGUAAUUUUAGUGAAAUUGCAAGCACAAAAAUUUGAAUGAUUUUUAGUAUCUACUACUGUGUCUUCUACAUACACUGUGUUACAAGCAGUUCUAAAGCAUGCACAUCCAUUGCCUAUAUAUACAAGGAAUGUUUUAGGAGUUUCGUUAGGAUGGAUUUCAAAGUGACAGGUAUUUUGUUCAGUGUCCAGACAAAUAUCCUGAGCUAUAAUUGCAUUGCCUUCACAGAUGAACCCUUGUUGUUCUUGGACAAUACAAGAUUCUAAGUUAACAGUUUGCCAUUUAUCAUCAAUAUGUCGGGCCCAUUCUCUAUGCUCGGAAGGAUAGAGAGUGGCUCCAUCAUGAUUCAAUCCUAAUGCAAUGAUGGGGAAUAUUGAAUGCACGGAGGCAUUGCGUAUGGUUAACACAAAAGCUGUGGCUAAGUUUGCGGUGGGGUCAUAAGUAAAGUUUACCAAAUUCCACCAGGAUUGGAAAUCCUUUUCAAAGUCAGUGGCACUGUCCCAAACUAUCUUCCGAAUUUCCAUAGGAAACGUGCCUUCUUCACCUUCUCUUAUAAGUGAAGCAGCAACUGACUGCAUCCAUAAUUGUGCCUGGAUGCAGCUAAGGGCUAAGGAAACGUUGCUUUGUGUAGCAUUGAGUGCAUCAAUUAUCAAUUCGUGGUCAUUCAGAUUUACCUUUUCCCAAUUUGGUAAUAUGUUUGUUAGCAACCACUGAUGCGUUCCCACGGCUGAUAAGGAUGAUUGCAAUGGUUGUUGUAAUUGGGUCAAAUCUUUAGUUGUAGCAGCCAAUUUAUUUAAUAAUACUUCUGAAUUAAUACUAUUUAGAAUUCCCAAUCCUGUUCCCACAACACCAGUUAUGUCUCUUGGUAUCCGUGUUUUAGAAGGGUUCCACUGUCGCAACCAGGUCGUCCACCCCUGGAAAGAAGUUUGCAAGAAAGGUGAACAAGCUGGCUGAACUUCAGAGACAUUGCUUUGCAUUAGCAAUUUAACUUGUUUAAGAGACCAUGCCAGAUUGAACAAUAUUUGUUGUUGGCCAGUUUUCCUGAUUAUAUAUGGUCCAACUUUAGAAAUUUUUGGGGUAAGCAUAACCGGUGGUUGGGUGGUAGGUAUCACAACAUUAACAUCAAGUUCUCCCCAGUAUUUAAAUCAAUACUUUAAACUUAAAAGAAAGCGCUUCAGUAUAUUUGGACCAAAGACAAACUACUUCUGCAGUUUGUGUUAAUGUGAAAUUGUGUCAACAAUCCUGUACGCUUCGGUGCGUACAAACCUUUUUGUGCUUAAAGAGAUCUUUUCACUUUUUCUGCAUGCUACCACAAUUAUUUCAGACCGCAACCACUCAGCUGGUUUCUGUCCAUGGGGUUGUGGUAGGAUGCAGGAAAGUAUUACCAGUUUUAUCAUGGAUUAGGGGGUCUUCAUGUCCCUUGGAGUUCUUCUGUAAAAGUAAACACAACAGAAUCCUGCCAGCGAGAGGCAGAAGAGGUUAGAAUGAUGGAAUUAUCCUGCAUGUAUUUAUCCAAUGCUCUUUCCCUAGAGCACCAGAGGCUUUCCAUGCACAUUUAUUCAGAGGGGGUUUUAGCACAAGUGGUACUAGCCCUAUAGUAAGGGAUGCCCACCAGAACAGGUUGGCCAGGGUAAUGUGCUGGAUUAUCAGGAUCAUUUGAUGCACAGCAUAGGAGUCAGUGUAGAGACAGACAAGAGAGGCAUUCUGUGCUUCUUGUUAGAAAACACUCCAGACAGCUCUCAGCUCCUUGACCUGAGAACUGCUUUCUCCCUCAUUAAUUAGUUCACCAGAGGAAAUGUGGGGGGCUGCUGCCCUGUAUGUCCACACCUUCCCUUCUCGUUUAGCAGAGGCAUCAGUGAACCAAGAGUUUGCUGAUUGUUCAGGGCAGAAAGGAGGGGCCACUUUGAUUACAGAGGCAGGUUUGUCCUGGCUGCUAUCCAAGCUCUCAGUUUCUUGUAUUGCCAAAUUUUUCACAGCUCCUUCUGUUACUGUAAAGAUGUUACAGUAAUGUUCAAUCUGAGCAUACCACUUUCUUACUGAGGCCCUCUGGGCCACCCCGUCAGGAGGGGGGGUCCCAGUAGUGACUGUCUUAGUAUCAUUGAAAGGGCUUCUCAAUACAAUUGGUAGUUGUAGUGCAAGUCUUUCCACUUCAAUGAGAGCCAGGCUGACCACAAACAAUCCCUUUUCCCAGGUAGUGUACCUUUUCUCAGCAUCUCUGAAACCAUGGGAAUAGAAACCAACAGGCAUUGUUGGACCCUCGGGUCCCCGCUGCCAAAUGUGUACUGACAAUCCUGAGACAGCAAAUCCCCAUUCUACCUGAAAGGGGACUGUAGGAUGAAUAGGGCCCAGUGCUUGAUGAGCAGUUGCUUCAAAAAUCAGUAAUUGCAAUGCUUCUUCCUGAGAAGGAGUUUUACCCCUUUCCUUAGCAAGUCAUAAAGGGGCCUAGCAAUUAUUGAGAAAUCUGGAAUGUGUUUUCUCCAAAACACUAAUAAUCCCAGAGCCUGUUGUAGAUCUUUCCUGGAAUGAGGCAUUUUAAUCUGAUCUAAAGAAGUUAAGGUAUCAGGUGGAAUACAUGUCAUGCCUCCUUUCCACCAAAUCCCCAGAAACUUUACUUCUUGAGAGGGUUUUUGAACCUUUUCUGGGGGGAUCUGUAAAUCGAGACUCUCUAAAUGGGAGAUUAUUUUCUGUUGAGUCUCUCUUACUGCUUCAAUUUCAUCCCCUCCCACCAAAAUAUCAUCAAUGUAUUGAUACACUGCUACAUCAUCAGGUUUGGAUAUCUCCUCUAGUUCUUUAGCUAAGGCAUGGUGGGCUAAGGUGGGUGAAUGCUUGUAUCCUUGUGGGAGUCUAGUGGAAGUGUAUUGCUGUCCUUCCCACGUAAAGGCAAAACGGUCCAUGUCUUCUGGUUGUAAUGGUAUCAUAAAGAACAUAUCUUUGACAUCUAUAGUUGCCAUAAUUGGAUGAGCUUUUUCUUGAAUAGAUGUUAUUAAUUCUGCUAAGUUUGGGACCGCUGCUGUGAGAGGAUCUGUGUUGGCAUUAAGCCUGCGAAAAUCGACUGUCAGUCUCCAUUUCCCAUUAGGUUUUCGGACUGGCCAGACGGGUGAGUUGAGGCUGGGGCUGGGGCUGGGGCAGCCAGCCCGACACAACCAAACCCCCAUGGUGGGAGCAGAGGUGGGACUCCAGACCCUGUGCAGGGGCUGCUUUGCUUUGCAGGCAAGGAAGGGCUUGGGCUGCUCCUCUGCCCUUGUUUGCUUUGGGAACACCAUGGGGGCAGUGCAGAGAGAAGGGAGAAAGCCUGGGAUUCCCUCACCCAUGGUGGGUUUUUCCCUGGCAAGCAGGGGUUGGACCUUCCUCAAGUCCCUGACAGAGAUAAGAUUUUUGACCUUUAUCCUCACUCCUCUUUUUGUCUGUAAUCUAUUUUCAGUAAUUCGAUGUUUGUUUUUCUAGAGGAAGCGUUCUAUGUAAGGUCCAGUCUGGAUCAGGAAGUGCUUGGGAGCAGCUGCGGCGUGGAUGGGCCGUGCCCUUGGAGAAGGCUGAGGACAUCGUUUGGGACCAGCUUUUCUCCCAGCGGUGGAUGGCGUGAGCCGGGCUCUGCGGGUGCUGAGGCUGCUCUGGGCCCUGCCAGGGCUCUGCUGGAGCUCAGCACCGGGCUGCAAUCAGCAAAAGGAGAAAUGGGGUGCCCUGCAGCACAGACUUGCUUGAGCAUUUCAGCAACACAGUUCAAGUCUGCAGAGUGUACACCUCCAAGGGAAAACAUGGCACCACCCAAAAAAUAAACUUGUUCAAUAACUUCUGAAAUUAAAUCAAUCUGGGAUGACCUCAAAUGACAUUUUGCAGCUUGCUCAAGCUGUAGCCCAGCCCUUCUCUAACCAGUUCUCUCCCCCACCUGCCUAUUACUCCCCAACUGCUCCCUAUUUUCCGUCAGUGAGCUCCCAGCCCAUUCCAGUCUCCAUCACACUGUUGCCUUCCUUGGUGCCCCUCACCAUGAGGAAGGCCGAGCCCCAGGCUUAGGGACUCAUCCUGUCACUGGCUGAGGAGCAGCAAUGUCUCAGAGCUCCGGUGGGAUUUUAGUGUCAUUCAGAGCUGCUCUCCAGCCCCCAGCUCUCCUCACUGCUGAGUUCCCGCUCCCUUUUCCUCAUCUGUGCAGCAGGAUGAGCUCUGUGAAUCCCCUUGAGCCUCCCCACUCUUCCCAGCCCACGCACCCACCUCGGUUAGGCUGAAGCUGCAGCUUCUCUGUCUCCUCUGGCACAGCAGUGCAGUCCCCUGUGCGGGGAGCCCCAGCCCCAGAGCACAGCACUCAGCAGUGCAGUCGGGGCUGGAGCAGCUGCCCUGCAGCCCUGGCUUGGCUCUUUGUGGCAGGGAAUGCUCCCUGUUUGCAGCUGUCCCUGCAGGAUAGCCCCAGGGCAGAGCCCAGCUGGGCUCCCACUGCAGCCCCUGAAGCUGUGAAACCAGUGAAAUCAUCCAGACUGUGUUUUUCAAAGGCCCUUAGAAGGAAGGGCUUGAGAAUAAA